CCGGAAAGACUAACAGGAUUCCCCUAGUAACUGCGAGUGAAGCGGGAAAAGCUCAAAUUUAAAAUCUGGCGGUCCUUGGCCGUCCGAGUUGUAGUCUGGAGAAGUGCUUUCUGCGCUGGACCGUGUAUAAGUCUCUUGGAACAGAGCGUCAUAGAGGGUGAGAAUCCCGUCUUUGACACGGACUACCAGUGCUUUGUGAUGCGCUCUCAAAGAGUCGAGUUGUUUGGGAAUGCAGCUCAAAAUGGGUGGUGAAUUCCAUCUAAAGCUAAAUAUUGGCGAGAGACCGAUAGCGAACAAGUACCGUGAGGGAAAGAUGAAAAGCACUUUGGAAAGAGAGUUAAACAGUACGUGAAAUUGCUGAAAGGGAAACGCUUGAAGUCAGUCGCGUUGUCCGGGACUCAGCCUUGCUUUCGCUUGGUGCACUUUCCGGAUGACGGGUCAGCAUCGAUUUUGACCGUCGGAAAAGGGCUGGAGUAAUGUGGCACCUCCGGGUGUGUUAUAGACUUCAGUCGCAUACGGCGGUCGGGAUCGAGGAACGCAGCGCGCCGCAAGGCAACACGCUUAGGAUGCUGGCAUAAUGGCUUUAAACGACCCGUCUUGAAACACGGACCAAGGAGUCUAACAUACCUGCGAGUGUUUGGGUGGAAAACCCGAGCGCGUAAUGAAAGUGAAAGUUGAGACCUCUGUCGUGGAGGGCAUCGACGCCCGGACCUGACGUUCUCUGACGGAUCCGCGGUAGAGCAUGUAUGUUGGGACCCGAAAGAUGGUGAACUAUGCCUGAAUAGGGUGAAGCCAGAGGAAACUCUGGUGGAGGCUCGUAGCGAUUCUGACGUGCAAAUCGAUCGUCAAAUUUGGGUAUAGGGGCGAAAGACUAAUCGAACCAUCUAGUAGCUGGUCCUGCGU
This 903-nucleotide ribosomal RNA is filed under the name Foraminispora concentrica. Its description in RNAcentral is "eukaryotic LSU rRNA". It matches the Rfam family "Eukaryotic large subunit ribosomal RNA", at positions 54 to 962 of the family's 3401-position model. Lineage: Eukaryota; Fungi; Basidiomycota; Agaricomycetes; Polyporales; Polyporaceae. The record is from RNAcentral.